RNAcentral lists this ribosomal RNA (369 nucleotides) under uncultured organism. Its description in RNAcentral is "partial 16S ribosomal RNA". It matches the Rfam family "Bacterial small subunit ribosomal RNA", at positions 527 to 896 of the family's 1533-position model. The record is from RNAcentral.
AGAGGGUGCAAGCGUUAAUCGGAAUUACUGGGCGUAAAGGGCGCGUAGGCGGUUAUUUAAGUGAGGUGUGGAAUAUCAGGGCUUAACCUUGAGUGGUCAUUUUAAACUGGAUAACUAGAGAGCGGAAGAGGUGAGAGGAAUUUCCGGUGUAGCGGUGAAAUGCGUAGAUAUCGGAAGGAACAUCAGUGGCGAAGGCGACUCACUGGUCCGCAGCUGACGCUGAGGCGCGAAAGCGUGGGUAGCAAACAGGGAUUAGAUACCCGUGGUAGUCCACGCUGUAAACGAUGAGAACUAGCCCGUUUGCUUUUAGGAGUGAGUGGCGCAGCUAACGCAUUAAGUUCUCCGCCUGGGGAUACGGUCGCAAGAUUA